UACGUAGGGUGCAAGCGUUAAUCGGAAUGACUGGGCGUAAAGGGUGCGUAGGCGGUGGGUUAAGACGGAUGUGAAAGGCCUGGGCUCAACCUGGGAAUGGCAUACGUGACUAACCGACUAGAAUAGGGCAGAGGGAGGUGGAAUUCCACAUGUAGCAGUGAAAUGCGUAGAGAUGUGGAGGAACAUCGAUGGCGAAGGCAGCCUCCUGGGCCGCUAUUGACGCUGAGGCACGAAAGCGUGGGGAGCAAACAGG
RNAcentral lists this ribosomal RNA (253 nucleotides) under uncultured bacterium. Its description in RNAcentral is "partial 16S ribosomal RNA". It matches the Rfam family "Bacterial small subunit ribosomal RNA", at positions 524 to 776 of the family's 1533-position model. The record is from RNAcentral.